This 406-nucleotide long non-coding RNA is filed under the name Carica papaya (papaya). RNAcentral's name for it is "long non-coding RNA (CPAP_LNC004453)". The record is from RNAcentral. Lineage: Eukaryota; Viridiplantae; Streptophyta; Magnoliopsida; Brassicales; Caricaceae.
AACCAUAUUUGUCGUGCAUUGCCAAAAUAAAUAAAAAAACUAAAAGAGAUUAGCCUUUAUCGCCAGCCACCACUCUCUUGUCAUCGUCCAACACAUGAUCGACGACCUAUAACACCUGUCAGCCUUCAUAUCAGCCUAGAAAUAGCUGCAUCUCACUUUACCAUAGAGUUUCAAGAUGCCAUAAUCGCCACAUGCUUCAUCUUUAGCUUAUCUCUAUUGCAAAUCUUUAAAUAUAGACACGUGCGUGUUGACGUUGAUUUACUUGUCACAACUUUUGUCGAGAUCCAAGCCAGGUCGAGUUAAUGUGGAAUCAUUGAAUUGACUCAUUAAGUUGACUCAUUGAGUUGACUUAGUACAGAAUUAUGGAUUUUCUCACCCAAAUAAAUUAUUAGAGUAAAAUCACAAC